GAAAUCCUGGUUUAGCCAAGGAAGCUACAUUAAUCGCAAUCUGUAUGUGACCGAACACGUAGAUUGCUGGAAGCACUGGGACAAUCUCUAUAAAGAGAAUCUAGAAGCUUGUGUUGCUCUUCUUAAAGAGCUUGUAGAGAAUUGGAAGGAAUAUUCCCCCAAACUAGCAUCAUCAAGCAAGGGAAUGAAUCAUGUCAGUCGACAUAUAUUCACUCUUUCUUUGAAACUAGCUGAAGAAGCCAUUAUUUCAGGAAAUCUUGUUGUAGCCAAGGAAGCUACAGCGAUCGCUAUCUGAGGAUCUGACUAAAACCGGAGAAUGCUGGGGAUAAGAAUCUAGAAGCUAAUGUUGCUCUUCUUAAAGAGCUUAUAGAGAAUUGGAAGGAAUAUUCCCCCAAACUAGCAAGACAUGGUCAUGCACUAUCAUUGCAAGUAGAUAUCCACACUGAAUGCAUAUUCUCUAUUUCCUUAAGAUUAGCUGGAGAAGGAAAUCUUGUUUUAGCCAAGGAAGCUACAGCGAUCGCUAUCUGGUCUCUAACCGAAAACGGAGAUUGCUGGAACAAUCUCUAUGAGGAGAAUCUAGAAACUGGUGUUGCUCUUCUUAGAGAGCUUGUAAACGAGUGGAAGGAUCAUUCCCUCAAACUACUAUCACCACCGAGUGUUGGUUUCACUCUCAGUCGAACUAUGAAGAGCUUGAGGCUAAAAGUAAUGCCCCUUAGCUAAUCUUAUUACACCCUCCAUUUAGUUGUAAUUUAGUAUCUCUGAUAUAACCAGUGAUUGUUCUUAGAACAAAAAAAACUAUCAUUGAAGGAGGAACCAACUCUUCUCUUCACGAAGAAGCUGACGAGUACUGCAAAGUGAUCUUGGGAAGACUUUGCCGUGGGACUGGCUGGCUUUACUGCUGUGGUUUUAGCUGCGGCAGUUGUUCUAGCUUUGCUGAACAAGCUCCUAAACUAAUUGGAUAUGCACCUAUAUACUUCAUUGCAAAGAGUUGUUGUGGAUAAAUUUAAAUUUCAACGAUCACUUUGAUUAUAGUUUUUCACGAUAUUUUUGAAAUAUUUGCAUGAACCGGAAGGACACCCCCAAUCCAAAGAGAAGCAAGUCUCUCUAUCGGAUGUUAUCAUGAAAAUCUUUCAACGGUAAGCAAAAAAAAAAUCCAGUUUCUAUCUAAACGUACGGGGAGAUAUAUUGAUCGGGCUUAUUUCAGCAGUUUUGUUUCUUGAUUCCUCACCAACUUUGGCUUUUAUAGGAUUCUCUGAAGUUGGGAAUGUUUUAAGAUGUGGAUUCUUUCUUGCAAGGAAUCUUGAAACAAAUACAUGAAACCAUUCAAAGCGGACAACAGAAAAAAAAAAGCUCAAUUACAUGUUAAUGGUUUAGCAUGAUCUUAUUUAGUAUGACGGUUCAAAGCCUAAAUCUAUGGACUACGUUUUGUAUAAUUCAAAGACUUUAACUUUCUCGUUAAUUAA
This is a non-coding RNA of Camelina sativa (false flax), 1463 nucleotides long. NCBI's taxonomy places the organism in Eukaryota, Viridiplantae, Streptophyta, Magnoliopsida, Brassicales, Brassicaceae. The record is from RefSeq and is a predicted model, not a curated record.